Molecule: ribosomal RNA, 313 nt
Filed under: uncultured eukaryote
Lineage: Eukaryota
Description: partial 18S ribosomal RNA
Rfam family: Eukaryotic small subunit ribosomal RNA
Source: RNAcentral
CCCUUAGAUGUUCUGGGCUGCACGCGCGCUACACUGAAGCGUUCAACGAGUAUUUCACCUUGCCCGGGAGGGUUGGGUAAUCUUUUUAAAACGCUUCGUGAUGGGGAUAGAUUAUUGCAAUUAUUAAUCUUCAACGAGGAAUUCCUAGUAAGCGCGAGUCAUCAGCUCGUGCUGAUUACGUCCCUGCCCUUUGUACACACCGCCCGUCGCUCCUACCGAUUGAGUGAGCCGAUGAAACUGCCGGAUGUGGACUAUUCAUAGUCUGCAGAAGAUAUUUGAAUCGUAGCGCUUAGAGGAAGGAGAAGUCGUAACA